UAAACUAGGAUUAGAUACCCUAUUACUCUAAAAUCAUCACCAGAUAAUCAAUUUUCAAUUAACAAAAUUGGCGGUUCUUUUACUUUUUAGAGGAGUUUGUUUCAUCAAGGAUAUUACCCCAAAGAAUUUACUUUAAUUCAGGUUUUUAUAUCGCUGUUGUUAAAAUAUGAUUGAAUUUCAUAUUUAAAAUGUAAGAUUUAAAGAACUUCAAGUCUAGAUGAAGCUAUAUUAAAGUGAAAAUGAACUACAAUAAAAAAUUUUACUACGGAGAGAGAAAUUUAACUUCUCUGGAAGGUGGAUUUAAAAGUAAAUUUGAUGAAACUUUGAAUCAGGAUCAAAAGAAUGCACAUAUCGC
This 355-nucleotide ribosomal RNA is filed under the name Austropurcellia cadens. RNAcentral's name for it is "partial 12S ribosomal RNA". The record is from RNAcentral. Lineage: Eukaryota; Metazoa; Arthropoda; Arachnida; Opiliones; Pettalidae.